ACGGCUCAGUAACACGUGGCUAACUUGCCCUGAGGACCGGUACAACCCCGGGAAACUGGGGCUAAUCCCAGAUAGGCAGGGAGGCCUGGAACGGUUCCCUGCUGAAAAGGGGUUGAGGCCAUGCUUCUCAACUUCGCCUCAGGAUAGGGCCGCACCCGAUCAGGUCGUUGGUGAGGUAACGGCUCACCAUGCCUAUAACCGGUACGGGCCGUGAGAGCGGGAGCCCGGAGAUGGGCACUGAGACAAGGGCCCAGGCCCUACGGGGCGCAGCAGGCGCGAAAACUCCGCAAUAUGCGAAAGCGUGACGGGGUCACCCCGAGUGCCGUCCGCUGAGGAUGGCUUUUGCCGGGUGUAAUGAGCCAGGUGAAUAAGGGGAGGGCAAGUCUGGUGUCAGCCGCCGCGGUAAUACCAGCUCCCCGAGUGGUUGGGAUGAUUAUUGGGUUUAAAGCGUCCGUAGCCGGCCUGAGGUGUUCCCCGUCAAAUCCAACGAUCCAAUCGUUGGGCUGCGGGGAAUACUCUUUGGCUUGAGGGCGGGGGAGGUCGGCGGUAUUCCCGGAGUAGGGGCGAAAUCUUAUAAUCCCGGGAGGACCACCAGUGGCGAAGGCGGCCGACUAAAACGCGCCUGACGGUGAGGGGCGAAAGCUGGGGGAGCAAAUGGGAUUAGAUACCCCAGUAGUCCCAGCUGUAAACGAUGCGGGCUAGGUGUUGAGGCGGGUAAGGCCCGACUCAGUGCCGCAGGGAAGCCAUUAAGCCCGCCACCUGGGAAGUACGGUCGCAAGGCUGAAACUUAAAGGAAUUGGCGGGGGAGCAC
RNAcentral lists this ribosomal RNA (811 nucleotides) under uncultured archaeon. RNAcentral describes it as "bacterial SSU rRNA". It matches the Rfam family "Archaeal small subunit ribosomal RNA", at positions 85 to 879 of the family's 1478-position model. The record is from RNAcentral.